RNAcentral lists this long non-coding RNA (1262 nucleotides) under Apteryx rowi (Okarito brown kiwi). RNAcentral's name for it is "lncRNA (ENSARWG00000006726.1)". The record is from RNAcentral. Lineage: Eukaryota; Metazoa; Chordata; Aves; Apterygiformes; Apterygidae.
CCCCGCGCCGCCGCCGCCGCACGCAGCGCCCGGGCCGGCCCGGCCGGAGACGCCACCUGGUACUGCCGGCCGCGGGGGGUGGCCGCGGGAGACGGGUCCCUGCUGGCGGCCGGGGCGCUGUGGGAGCCUUCCCCCCAACCCCGGAUUAUGUUUUUAUCCGUCUUGUUUGGGUCUAUUUAUUUAUUUAUUUAUUCUGCCUGAAGUGCCGGGAUUUGCCGGCGGAGCACAAAUAAAUGGGCCCCCUUCUUAGGCGUCCGUAGGUGCCGCAUCCGUCACAUGCAGUUCCCGAGCACUGCGAAGUCUACAUUAAAACGUGCUGGAAAACGUCUGCUCCGGCUGUARUAGUAAUAGCGAUAAUAAUAAAAUGACAGAACGGGGAGCGAUUUACAUGCUGUUGAAGGGGAGGAAUUGCUGGAGAGUAAUAAUAGAAAAGAAAACAAGUCGGAAGCCCGUUAUAUAAUGCACUAUGUAGAUAACGAGAACGACGGGCUAUUUUUAUUUUGUUUACCGUAUGCUGUGUAAUAGGGACUCCUGCAAGCAGCAUCUCUCCCCUGCGAGCCUGAACUCCAGGCAGAAUUAGCAAAAAUUAUAAGGCAUUCCUGUUAUGCCCACACGGAGAGAGCUAGCUGAGUAAAACGUUUCUCCUUACAGAUGUAUUUUGUGGACAAAUCAGGAAUUGUGCAGUCACGUUGCAGGCCAAACCAGAUGGGCAAGCAAUACAAGCUGUGAAUUUAUUCUUGAUCCCUGUAGGACAGUGACCACCUCCGUUUUUACCAUCACCGUACAGAUAUGCACUGUCAAUAAGUCCCUUUCAAGCGUUUCAAGUGAACAGGCUGAGGCGUACCGUGUUCUGAGGACCCUGAUUCAGCAAAGCACUUUAACCAUACGGACAAGCUCCACUGGAGUGCAAGAAGCCAAGGAAAAUAUUUAAAAUGGUAGAAGAACUGGCAGGAAAACUUCAGCGAUUAGGGCAGUCCUGGUGCUUGAAACUACUUUGACCUCUUCCCUCUCUCCUCCAUCGUUCACUUCAAGAUGCUAUUGUUGAUGUCGUCAUCAUCAUCAUCAUCAUCAUUAUUAUUAUUUUGUUGUUGUUGUUGUUGUUGUAAUCUUAUAUUAGAAUAUAAUAAUAAUCUUAUUCAUAUGGUGACAUAAAGAUGAAUGACAUCAGAAUACUUUGUUCUUUCUUGAGGUGUAUUAUGGUUACGCCUUCAUUUGCAAAUAGUGUGGACCAACUGGAGAGGAUCUGUACAGUGAAACAGUUG